UCCUUGGGUGCAAAGGCGGAGCUCCAUACGUUAUCCAUGGGCCUCCUGGUACAGGCAAAACAAGGACUCUUAUAGAAGCUAUUCUCCAGUUACACGUUACGAGGAAAGAUGCUCGUGUUCUCGUCUGCGCACCUUCGAGUAGUGCUGCAGACCAUAUACUUGAGAAACUUACUACACGUUACGAGGAAAAAUGCUCGAGUACUUGUCUGCGCACCUUCAAAUAGUGCUGCAGACCAUAUACUUGAGAAACUUGUCAGUCAGCAGAAUGAAGUGAAGGACCAUGAAAUUUUUAGGCUGAAUGCACUCGCACGUCCUUUAGACGACGUGAAUCCUAGUCACAUUCGCUUUUGCAAU
This 354-nucleotide long non-coding RNA is filed under the name Nicotiana benthamiana. Its description in RNAcentral is "long non-coding RNA (NBEN_LNC011903)". Lineage: Eukaryota; Viridiplantae; Streptophyta; Magnoliopsida; Solanales; Solanaceae. The record is from RNAcentral.